This 197-nucleotide ribosomal RNA is filed under the name Caloplaca stillicidiorum. Its description in RNAcentral is "partial 18S ribosomal RNA". The record is from RNAcentral. Lineage: Eukaryota; Fungi; Ascomycota; Lecanoromycetes; Teloschistales; Teloschistaceae.
GGGCAGGCGACACCCGCCUGUAGCUGGAAGGUUCCCCCGGGUCUCCGGGGGCAACGAUCAGCUGCUGCACGCCCGGGGCGUGCAGUUCACAGAUCAAACGCGGGUGGCUUGCGCCCGCAGGUUGAGAUAUGACCGUAGCAGCUCCGCCAGGAGCCUGGCAUGCUAGUUCCGUAGGUGAACCUGCGGAAGGAUCAUUA